CCCUUAGAUGUUCGGAGCUGCACGCGCGCUACACUGAAGGAAGCAGCGUGUUAGAGCACCUGGCUUGAAAGAGCUGGGUAAUCCGGUGAAUGUCCUUCGUGAUUGGGAUAGGGACUUGUAAUUAUUUCCCUUGAACGAGGAAUACCUUGUAAGCGCGGGUCAUCAUCCCGCGCUGAAUACGUCCCUGCCCUUUGUACACACCGCCCGUCGCUCCUACCGAUUGAGUGGUCCGGUGAGGCUUUGGGAUCUGAGCGGAAAGAGCGUUUCGCUGUUUCUGCUCGGAAAACUCAGUCGAACCUUAUCAUUUAGAGGAAGGAGAAGUCGUAACA
This 329-nucleotide ribosomal RNA is filed under the name uncultured eukaryote. RNAcentral's name for it is "partial 18S ribosomal RNA". It matches the Rfam family "Eukaryotic small subunit ribosomal RNA", at positions 1470 to 1796 of the family's 1831-position model. The record is from RNAcentral.